AAACGUAGGAUCCGAGCGUUAUCCGAAUUCACUGGGCGUAAAGGGCGAGUAGGCGGCCGGAUAAGUUGGAUGUAAAAUCUCCCGGCUCAACUGGGAGAGGACGUACAAGACUGUUUGGCUAGAGGGCGAUAGAGGGAAGCGGAAUUCCCGGUGUAGUGGUGAAAUGCGUAGAUAUCGGGAGGAACACCAGAGGCGAAAGCGGCUUCCUGGGUCGCACCUGACGCUGAGAAGCGAAAGCUAGGGGAGC
RNAcentral lists this ribosomal RNA (247 nucleotides) under uncultured bacterium. RNAcentral's name for it is "partial 16S ribosomal RNA". It matches the Rfam family "Bacterial small subunit ribosomal RNA", at positions 523 to 769 of the family's 1533-position model. The record is from RNAcentral.